RNAcentral lists this ribosomal RNA (631 nucleotides) under Blastomonas sp. RNAcentral's name for it is "bacterial SSU rRNA". It matches the Rfam family "Bacterial small subunit ribosomal RNA", at positions 107 to 775 of the family's 1533-position model. Lineage: Bacteria; Pseudomonadati; Pseudomonadota; Alphaproteobacteria; Sphingomonadales; Blastomonadaceae. The record is from RNAcentral.
UGCGUAACGCGUGGGAAUCUGCCCUUGGGUUCGGAAUAACAGUGAGAAAUUACUGCUAAUACCGGAUGAUGUCUUCGGACCAAAGAUUUAUCGCCCAAGGAUGAGCCCGCGUAAGAUUAGCUAGUUGGUGAGGUAAAGGCUCACCAAGGCGACGAUCUUUAGCUGGUCUGAGAGGAUGAUCAGCCACACUGGGACUGAGACACGGCCCAGACUCCUACGGGAGGCAGCAGUGGGGAAUAUUGGACAAUGGGCGAAAGCCUGAUCCAGCAAUGCCGCGUGAGUGAUGAAGGCCUUAGGGUUGUAAAGCUCUUUUACCAGGGAUGAUAAUGACAGUACCUGGAGAAUAAGCUCCGUAACUCCGUGCCAGCAGCCGCGGUAAUACGGAGGGAGCUAGCGUUGUUCGGAAUUACUGGGCGUAAAGCGCACGUAGGCGGCUAUUCAAGUCAGAGGUGAAAGCCCGGGGCUCAACCCCGGAACUGCCUUUGAAACUAGAUAGCUUGAAUCUUGGAGAGGCGAGUGGAAUUCCGAGUGUAGAGGUGAAAUUCGUAGAUAUUCGGAAGAACACCAGUGGCGAAGGCGACUCGCUGGACAAGUAUUGACGCUGAGGUGCGAAAGCGUGGGGAGCAAACAG